UACAGAGGUCUCAAGCGUUGUUCGGAUUCAUUGGGCGUAAAGGGUGCGUAGGUGGCGCGCUAAGUCAGGUGUGAAAUUUCGGAGCUUAACUCCGAAACUGCAUUUGAUACUGGUGUGCUUGAGGACUGGGGAGGAGACUGGAAUUCAUGGUGUAGCAGUGAAAUGCGUAGAGAUCAUGAGGAAGACCAGUGGCGAAGGCGGGUCUCUGGACAGUUCCUGACACUGAGGCACGAAGGCCAGGGGAGCAAACGGG
This 253-nucleotide ribosomal RNA is filed under the name uncultured bacterium. Its description in RNAcentral is "partial 16S ribosomal RNA". It matches the Rfam family "Bacterial small subunit ribosomal RNA", at positions 524 to 776 of the family's 1533-position model. The record is from RNAcentral.